Molecule: long non-coding RNA, 346 nt
Organism: Phyllostomus hastatus (greater spear-nosed bat)
Lineage: Eukaryota; Metazoa; Chordata; Mammalia; Chiroptera; Phyllostomidae
Exons: 3
Source: RefSeq, a predicted model, not a curated record
CGACGGACCAAGACGCUUCCGGGCAACGGACCGAGAGGGGCGGGGCCUAGGUUUAAGAAAGGAAGGUGUUGCCCUGGCUGGCGUAGCUCAGUGGAUUGAGCGGGGGCUGCGAAUCAAGUGUCGCAGAUAAAUAAAUCUGAAAAAAAAAGAAAGGAAGGUGUUUCUGCCUGGGCUGCCCUCAGAAGAGGAAGCUGAACAGAGGGGGCGGGACCUGAGGAGAGCGGCUAGAGGUGGGGCUACUCAGGGGACCCUGGGGCAGCCCUGAAGAUCGAGUGUUGGCUGACCUGGCCUCGCCUGUGAUCCCCGCGGCAAUGCCCAUCCCAUCCCGUCUCCCACCUCAUCCCCG